AAGUCGUAACAAGGUUUCCGUAGGUGAACCUGCUGAAGGAUCAUCAUUGAAUAAACUUGAACAGGCUGUUGCUGACUCCCUCAGGGGGGUACGUGCACGCUUGUCAUCUUUAUUUCUCCACUUGUGCACAUAUUGUAGGCCUGGAAUUAAAUUUGAUCAUUGUUCGAGUUGGUGCUGCUGUGCUUUCUUAAACAGAAGUCAGCUUUACCUUGCAUUUCUAGGCCUAUGUCAUUUUCACAAUCUCUGAAUGUGUUUAGAAUGUUGAAGGGUCCUUUUGUACCCAUAAAUUUAUAUAAACAACUUUCAGCAACGGAUCUCUUGGCUCUCGCAUCGAUGAAGAACGCAGCGAAAUGCGAUAAGUAAUGUGAAUUGCAGAAUUCAGUGAAUCAUCGAAUCUUUGAACGCAUCUUGCGCUCCUUGGUAUUCCGAGGAGCAUGCCUGUUUGAGUGUCAUUAAGUUCUCAACCACAGCAAUUCUUUUGGUGUGGCUUGGAUUGUGGGGGUUUUAUUUGCAGGCUUUUGGAAUAUUAAGUCUGCUCCCCUGAAAUAUAUUAGUGGUAUCUGAGCAGAGAAAAGCUACUACAGGUGUUGAUAAUUGUCUAUGCCUUGUAAGCACAACUGCGUGAACAGAUUGCACUGCUUCUAAUAAAAUGAGAGAAAUCUCUUUGAAAAUUUGACCUCAAAUCAGGUAGGACUACCCGCUGAACUUAAGCAUAUCAAUAAGCGGAGGA
Molecule: ribosomal RNA, 730 nt
Filed under: uncultured Inocybe
Lineage: Eukaryota; Fungi; Basidiomycota; Agaricomycetes; Agaricales; Cortinariaceae
Description: eukaryotic LSU rRNA
Rfam family: 5.8S ribosomal RNA (bases 299-452)
Source: RNAcentral